RNAcentral lists this long non-coding RNA (237 nucleotides) under Gossypium raimondii (Peruvian cotton). RNAcentral describes it as "long non-coding RNA (GRAI_LNC004361)". Lineage: Eukaryota; Viridiplantae; Streptophyta; Magnoliopsida; Malvales; Malvaceae. The record is from RNAcentral.
UAUAAUUAGCUUUCUGUGGCAUGGUUUUUUGUUUUUGUUUUUUUCAAAAAAGUAUUCACUUGUUUUUUUUUCUAUUUUUUUGAUUGCUUGCUUUUUUACCUGUGGAAAAUGAAAUGGCGAAUCUAAGUCUUGACAAAGGCUAAGAGGAGGCCUGGUUAUUCAAGGAAGAAAUCGGUCUGCAGAAGUCAACAUUUGAGUAUUGUACUGUCGAGUGCUUUUUAACGACGAGCGUAGUCC